CUGGGGCCGCCGUCGGGCCUUCUCCCUCCAGGGGCCCAAGAGCCACUGGUACUCAGUGUCUGGGUGGGGGCAGGGGGGAUUUUUGUUCUCCCAGCACCUGCGGCUGUUGAGACCAGAGAAGCUGGUGGUCGACCACAGCCUGGGGUAUUAGUUCACCCCUAGCUUCUCCCCAGCGAGACCCCAGGGCCCUUGGGCACAGGGGAUUAAGCCUCUAUCUGCUUACGUGCAAGCGGAAGAAAUAGGCCCAGAGAGCAACAGUGGCGGGUCUGCAGUCACACAGCCAACUUGCGCUUGUGGCAGUGGCAAGGUUGGUGAGUAUCUGAGUCUUCAGGCCACGGCAUUUUCCGCUCGAGUGGAGCCUGGAAGCUGGUUCAGUGGGGCUGUCGACCACAGGUACCAACCCUGCCCUCCCCUACAGAGUAUGUGACGUAGGCACAGCCAAUGACUGCAUCCCAGUGCUUCGACCAGUCACAGGGUCAAGGGUGCAGUGGCUCACACCUGUAAUCCCAGCACUUUGGAGUCCCAAGCAGGCAGAUCGCCUGAAGUCGGGAGUUUGAGACCAGCCUGGGUGAAACCCCAUCUCUAAUAAAAGUACA
RNAcentral lists this long non-coding RNA (596 nucleotides) under Homo sapiens (human). RNAcentral's name for it is "HSALNT0234284". The record is from RNAcentral. Lineage: Eukaryota; Metazoa; Chordata; Mammalia; Primates; Hominidae.